CUACAUCGACUAUGGUAUUUCAAUCAUCUUUUUCAAGAGGACAACCAAUCUUCUCCUCCAAUUCUUCUACUAAAUGUUUGCAAUAUUCGACGAACUUGUAGACUUUGAUUGGAGUGUUGAGUGGAUGCAUUACUGCAUCAAUCUCUCUUAGAUGUUUUGGAAUUUUUAUGAUCGCCUGAUUAGCUAGCAUUGCCAAUUUCGAAAAGCAAUCUUUCCAAUGCUUGCCUUUAUCUUCCAAUUCUUUAUAAAUCUCUUGGUUCUUCAAUUGCCCAAGCAACAACAUGAAACGCUCCUCCCAGUAUAUGGUUUCAUCCUUCAAGUCAUUGUAGAUAUU
Molecule: long non-coding RNA, 334 nt
Filed under: Cicer arietinum (chickpea)
Lineage: Eukaryota; Viridiplantae; Streptophyta; Magnoliopsida; Fabales; Fabaceae
Description: long non-coding RNA (CARI_LNC003294)
Source: RNAcentral